UGUGGUACUCCACAUUUAGAAAUCGGGAAUUCCUUAUUUCUAAAUGUGGAGUACCACAUUUAGAAAUCGGGGAAUUCCUUAUUUCUAAAUACUCCACAUUGGACUUUGGGCGACAAAAAAAAAUCAUGUUUCUCAUUAUGCAUUGUUGGUUUUAUCAGAUAAAUAUAUGCGGGAGCGUGGGUUCUCAGCACAAAGAAGACAACUUCGUCACAGCUUACAGCUUGCUGAAUUGAUCGCAAAACUGAGAGGGAAAACUGGCGUAUUAAACUCUAAAAGUUUAAUACGUCAGUUCAGUCGCAAUUGCUAACGAUUCUCAAGAUGGAGUCUGGAGGGCGGUAUACUGUGCGUCUGGUCCUGUACCACUUGUGUCUGGCCUAUGAUCAUCUCCUCAUCUCAACCCUUUUCAGCUUGGCUUUAGCAUCUCAUGCAGCAUCCACAAGGAUCACACGAGCCACUCCUCCCAUCAUUUCUGACAUGAACAAUCAGGAGGUUAGCGUUGGUAGCACCGUCACAUUUGAUUGUCGAGUCAGAAGCUUAGCAGUACCAGCAAUCCACUGGUGGAAAACGGACCAGUCAGGCAGUAGACAUGAACUGAGAGCCAUUCCAGAUAAGAUAGACAUACUCAUUGAAAUGUAAGUGUCCAUGCACCCUUCUGUAUUCCAGAAUACUCCUAGGCAAGAGAAUGUUUAUUCUCAGACAUUGAAGAUCUACAGAGUAACUUUGGAAGAUGCUGGAUCCUAUAUAUGCUACGCAGGUAUCAAGGCAGGAACCAGCAGAUAGAGUGCACAGCUGACUGUCAGUCAAGUCAAGACUCAACCCAUCAUUUCUACCAUGGGAAAGCAGAAGGUUAGAGUUGGUAGCACAGCCACGUUUAAUUGUCAAGUCCAGAGUACGACUUCAACAGCUUUUGAGUGGUGGAAAACAGAAACAACAUCAAGCAAUAAUAGUAGACUUGUACCCAUUCGAAAGAAGAUUGACAUACAAGUUAACAACCCUCUGCAAGAAGAUGUUUAUUCUCAGACGUUGAGCAUCUACAGCGUAACUAAGGAAGAUGCUGGAAACUACAUGUGCCGCGCCGAGAACGACUUUGGAAGCAGCACAAAGAUAGCGGAGUUGGAAGUCACUUCAGCUCCUCCCAAGAAUAAGCCCCCUCCCAAGAAAAAGCCCCCUCCUCGAAGAGGGGGGAGCAUGAAAUUCAGCGCACCGGGACCCGUUGCACUGAUUCUGAUGUUACUCUGUGGAUAUGCCUUGGGGAAUCAAUUUGUUCUUUGACUAAAGGUCCAGGAUUUUCAAAUUCUUUUUAAAAUUUUUUUGUCAAUUUUGUCAAUGUAUUACUUCAAUAUGGAACUGUAAUUUUUGAAUGUUCAAUUGAACUGUAAUAUUGUAUUUGUUGUUAUGUGCAUUUGAGAUUUGUUAUGUGAUUUGCGCAGUGUGAUUACAUGUAUAAUAAUAGUCAAAUUUCCUGUUAAUGUACCUUUAAACAUCGAAAAAUAAAAUGACCAAGUUUUUACGAAAUACCUUACAGGAA
Molecule: RNA transcript, 1528 nt
Organism: Patiria miniata (bat star)
Lineage: Eukaryota; Metazoa; Echinodermata; Asteroidea; Valvatida; Asterinidae
Gene name: fibroblast growth factor receptor-like
Exons: 7
Source: RefSeq, a predicted model, not a curated record